This 449-nucleotide ribosomal RNA is filed under the name uncultured bacterium. Its description in RNAcentral is "bacterial SSU rRNA". It matches the Rfam family "Bacterial small subunit ribosomal RNA", at positions 29 to 524 of the family's 1533-position model. The record is from RNAcentral.
AACGAACGCUGGCGGCAUGCCUAACACAUGCAAGUCGAACGAGACCUUCGGGUCUAGUGGCGCACGGGUGCGUAACGCGUGGGAAUCUGCCCUUGGGUUCGGAAUAACAGCGAGAAAUUGCUGCUAAUACCGGAUGAUGACGUAAGUCCAAAGAUUUAUCGCCCAAGGAUGAGCCCGCGUAGGAUUAGCUAGUUGGUGAGGUAAAGGCUCACCAAGGCGACGAUCCUUAGCUGGUCUGAGAGGAUGAUCAGCCACACUGGGACUGAGACACGGCCCAGACUCCUACGGGAGGCAGCAGUGGGGAAUAUUGGACAAUGGGCGAAAGCCUGAUCCAGCAAUGCCGCGUGAGUGAUGAAGGCCUUAGGGUUGUAAAGCUCUUUUACCCGGGAUGAUAAUGACAGUACCGGGAGAAUAAGCCCGGCUAACUCCGUGCCAGCAGCCGCGGUAAU